UACGGUAGGGUGCAAGCGUUGUCCGGAAUUAUUGGGCGUAAAGAGCUCGUAGGCGGUUUGUCGCGUCUGCUGUGAAAACGCGAGGCUCAACCUCGCGCCUGCAGUGGGUACGGGCAGACUAGAGUGUGGUAGGGGAGAUUGGAAUUCCUGGUGUAGCGGUGGAAUGCGCAGAUAUCAGGAGGAACACCGAUGGCGAAGGCAGAUCUCUGGGCCAUUACUGACGCUGAGGAGCGAAAGCGUGGGGAGCGAACAGG
RNAcentral lists this ribosomal RNA (254 nucleotides) under uncultured bacterium. Its description in RNAcentral is "partial 16S ribosomal RNA". It matches the Rfam family "Bacterial small subunit ribosomal RNA", at positions 524 to 776 of the family's 1533-position model. The record is from RNAcentral.